This 747-nucleotide long non-coding RNA is filed under the name Helianthus annuus (common sunflower). RNAcentral describes it as "hypothetical non coding rna". The record is from RNAcentral. Lineage: Eukaryota; Viridiplantae; Streptophyta; Magnoliopsida; Asterales; Asteraceae.
AUUGUGGAUAGCCUUCAUCUACGUUCUUGAAUACCGAGGCACAAGCUUUUCGAAUAGCAUGGAAAUUCAUUCGUGUGGCAUAUACAAAUAAGUUCUCACUACUCGCUGCUGAAUAAAGGUGAGCAAAUUCUUGAAGUUUCUAGGGCUGAUAUGGAACCCACUAUCAUGGGUUAUGAGAUUGCAAGUGGAGGAGUAAGAACCAAGAACUCUACUUAAAUUCAAUACAAGUUAGUCAAAUUUGAUAAAGCAAUUACUGCGGUGUAUUCUGGGAGUAAGGCCUUCGAGUUUCUGGGUCUGUAAGAUGUUGAAGAUUUUUCAUCUCCGCCAUGUAAUCUUAGGUUGUUGGCUGGAACUGUGAUCGUCAAGGCAUUUUGAAAGAUAAUAAUGGGAGUUCAAAACAGGAGCUGGAGAAUAAUUUGACGACUGGGGUUGUUUGUUCCAUUAUAGUUAUUCAUAAUUUUUAUUAUUCGGCCACUCAUCAAACAUCUGCAAAGCCAAAUCGUUGAUAAAGUGGAAGUAUUUCUUAAGAUCAAUCAAUGGAGAGAGGUUCAUCAAUGAGGCGCCUAAGGCGCUUGUGCUAAAAGCCGUAUUAAUUCCUACAACCAUCAAACAUAUGUUAUUGUAAUUGUGUGUAGAUUAUUUUUUUCUUUUUUAUCAUUUUUUAUUGUUUUCAUGGCUUUAGCAGCAUGUAAAAAUUUUCCAGCAUUUGAAUAGUUUUCUGUUUUUUUUCUUCCAAUGUAUGUAUUU